UACAGAGGUCCCAAGCGUUGUUCGGAUUCACUGGGCGUAAAGGGUGCGUAGGUGGCCGGGUAAGUCUGAUGUGAAAUCUCCGAGCUCAACUCGGAAAUGGCAUUGGAAACUAUCCGGCUCGAGGAGUGGAGGGGGGACUGGAAUACUUGGUGUAGCAGUGAAAUGCGUAGAUAUCAAGUGGAACGCCAGUGGCGAAGGCGAGUCCCUGGACACUUCCUGACACUGAGGCACGAAAGCUAGGGGAGCAAACAGG
Molecule: ribosomal RNA, 253 nt
Filed under: uncultured bacterium
Lineage: Bacteria
Description: partial 16S ribosomal RNA
Rfam family: Bacterial small subunit ribosomal RNA
Source: RNAcentral